GACGAACGCUGGCGGCGUGCUUAACUCAUGCAAGUCGAACGGAAAGGCCCUGCUUUUGUGGGGUGCUCGAGUGGCGAACGGGUGAGUAACACGUGAGUAACCUGCCCUUGACUUUGGGAUAACUUCAGGAAACUGGGGCUAAUACCGGAUAGGAGCUCCUGCUGCAUGGUGGGGGUUGGAAAGUUUCGGCGGUUGGGGAUGGACUCGCGGCUUAUCAGCUUGUUGGUGGGGUAGUGGCUUACCAAGGCUUUGACGGGUAGCCGGCCUGAGAGGGUGACCGGCCACAUUGGGACUGAGAUGCGGCCCAGACUCCUACGGGAGGCAGCAGUGGGGAAUAUUGCACAAUGGGCGGAAGCCUGAUGCAGCAACGCCGCGUGCGGGAUGACGGCCUUCGGGUUGUAAACCGCUUUCGCCUGUGACGAAGCGUGAGUGACGGUAAUGGGUAAAGAAGCACCGGCUAACUACGUG
RNAcentral lists this ribosomal RNA (468 nucleotides) under uncultured bacterium. Its description in RNAcentral is "partial 16S ribosomal RNA". It matches the Rfam family "Bacterial small subunit ribosomal RNA", at positions 28 to 507 of the family's 1533-position model. The record is from RNAcentral.